This 376-nucleotide ribosomal RNA is filed under the name uncultured bacterium. RNAcentral describes it as "bacterial SSU rRNA". It matches the Rfam family "Bacterial small subunit ribosomal RNA", at positions 524 to 898 of the family's 1533-position model. The record is from RNAcentral.
UACGGAGGGUGCAAGCGUUAAUCGGAAUAACUGGGCGUAAAGCGCACGCAGGCGGUUAGAUAAGUCAGAUGUGAAAGCCCCGGGCUCAACCUGGGAACUGCAUUUGAAACUGUCUGACUAGAGUCUUGUAGAGGGGGGUAGAAUUCCAGGUGUAGCGGUGAAAUGCGUAGAGAUCUGGAGGAAUACCGGUGGCGAAGGCGGCCCCCUGGACAAAGACUGACGCUCAGGUGCGAAAGCGUGGGGAGCAAACAGGAUUAGAUACCCUGGUAGUCCACGCUGUAAACGAUGUCGAUUUGGAGUUUGUGCCAUUAUGAGCGUGGGUUCCGAAGCUAACGCGAUAAAUCGACCGCCUGGGGAGUACGGCCGCAAGGUUAAA